RNA transcript from Arachis stenosperma, 965 nucleotides. RefSeq lists it as uncharacterized. NCBI's taxonomy places the organism in Eukaryota, Viridiplantae, Streptophyta, Magnoliopsida, Fabales, Fabaceae. The record is from RefSeq and is a predicted model, not a curated record. The transcript has 3 exons.
CAUAACAUAUAGAACACACAAAACAUUGACACAAAAAAACCUUGAAUUACUUUAACUAACUCAUCAUUCAAGAAAAAAACCAAGCAUGGAUUGGUUCUCAUGGCUUUCAAAAGCAGGCCUUGAUCCUUCCCUAGUAUAUGAAUACGGACUACUCUUUUCACACAACGAGCUUGAAGAAGAAGACAUCAAGUACUUCAACCACGAGUUCCUCCAGAGCAUGGGGAUCUCCAUAGCCAAGCACAGGCUGGAGAUCCUCAAGCUCGUUCAUCGGAACAAGGCCGCCACGGCGGCAACCACGAAGAAGUACAAAACCAAUAAUUACCCUACGAUACUCCAUGUUUCAAGGAUCAUGCAUGCAUUCAAGAAAACAAGAAGGUGCUUGUCAAGUUACUUGAAAACAAUUAUUGGUUGCGAGGAUUCCACGCUCGCCGUGGUUCCAAUACCAAGGCCUUGUUCUUCGUAUGGAACCACGGCGAAGUGGAAGAGCGCGGUGUUGAAGAGGAACAACACCAAGAAUCAAAACAAUUAUCAUCAUCAUCAUCAUCACCACCAAGAGAGGCUGUUGCUUACAAAUGGAAGCCCUAUAACAUCAUCAACAAUGGUGGUUCCUGCAUUACCUGAUGGAUUCUAUAGUAGUCCCAUGGUUUACCAUUUCCAGAAGGAAGAGAAGAUGGACGCCGGCGACGACGACGGAUAUUGGUCUUCUGCGGUUCAAGAUUUCAGGUGGGAUAGUAUGUUCCAAGAUCUAAAGCCUAACUGAAUUUUCGAAGAGGCCAUGGCAACAUCAUUAUUGUCUGAACCUUGAAACAUGCAAAGGAAGGCCCUAGACAUGUGACAACAUGAUGCCUAAUUAUUUACUCAAAUUGGGGGUGAUUGGUCACUCAGAAGAACAGAAUGUUUGGCAGCUCUUGGAAGCCAAAAGAACAAUGAAGAUCAAUCAAAGGUCAAGCAAUCCUCCCAACCCC